UGAGAGACGGUCCAGACUCCUACGGGGGGCAGCAGUGGGGAAUAUUGCACAAUGGGGGAAACCCUGAUGCAGCGACGCCGCGUGAAGGAAGAAGUAUCUCGGUAUGUAAACUUCUAUCAGCAGGGAAGAUAGUGACGGUACCUGACUAAGAAGCCCCGGCUAACUACGUGCCAGCAGCCGCGGUAAUACGUAGGGGGCAAGCGUUAUCCGGAUUUACUGGGUGUAAAGGGAGCGUAGACGGUGUGGCAAGUCUGAUGUGAAAGGCAUGGGCUCAACCUGUGGACUGCAUUGGAAACUGUCAUACUUGAGUGCCGGAGGGGUAAGCGGAAUUCCUAGUGUAGCGGUGAAAUGCGUAGAUAUUAGGAGGAACACCAGUGGCGAAGGCGGCUUACUGGACGGUAACUGACGUUGAGGCUCGAAAGCGUGGGGAGCAAACAGGAUUAGAUACCCUAGUAGUC
This 458-nucleotide ribosomal RNA is filed under the name Escherichia coli. Its description in RNAcentral is "bacterial SSU rRNA". It matches the Rfam family "Bacterial small subunit ribosomal RNA", at positions 320 to 795 of the family's 1533-position model. The record is from RNAcentral. Lineage: Bacteria; Pseudomonadati; Pseudomonadota; Gammaproteobacteria; Enterobacterales; Enterobacteriaceae.